GACGAACGCUGGCGGCGUGCUUAACACAUGCAAGUCGAACGGAAAGGCCCUGCUUUUGUGGGGUGCUCGAGUGGCGAACGGGUGAGUAACACGUGAGUAACCUGCCCUUGACUUUGGGAUAACUUCAGGAAACUGGGGCUAAUACCGGAUAGGAGCUCCUGCUGCAUGGUGGGGGUUGGAAAGUUUCGGCGGUUGGGGAUGGACUCGCGGCUUAUCAGCUUGUUGGUGGGGUAGGGGCUUACCAAGGCUUUGACGGGUAGCCGGCCUGAGAGGGUGACCGGCCACAUUGGGACUGAGAUACGGACCAGACUCCUACGGGAGGCAGCAGUGGGGAAUAUUGCACAAUGGGCGGAAGCCUGAUGCAGCAACGCCGCGUGCGGGAUGACGGCCUUCGGGUUGUAAAACGCUUUAGCCUGUGACGAAGCGUGAGUGACGGUAAUGGGUAAAGAAGCACCGGCUAACUACGUG
RNAcentral lists this ribosomal RNA (468 nucleotides) under uncultured bacterium. Its description in RNAcentral is "partial 16S ribosomal RNA". It matches the Rfam family "Bacterial small subunit ribosomal RNA", at positions 28 to 507 of the family's 1533-position model. The record is from RNAcentral.